AGAGUUUGAUCCUGGCUCAGAUUGAACGCUGGCGGCAGGCCUAACACAUGCAAGUCGAACGGUAACAGGAAGAAGCUUGCUUCUUUGCUGACGAGUGGCGGACGGGUGAGUAAUGUCUGGGAAACUGCCUGAUGGAGGGGGAUAACUACUGGAAACGGUAGCUAAUACCGCAUAACGUCGCAAGACCAAAGUGGGGGACCUUCGGGCUUCAUGCCAUCAGAUGUGCCCAGAUGGGAUUAGCUGGUAGGUGGGGUAACGGCUCACCUAGGCGACGAUCCCUAGCUGGUCUGAGAGGAUGACCAGCCACACUGGAACUGAGACACGGUCCAGACUCCUACGGGAGGCAGCAGUGGGGAAUAUUGCACAAUGGGCGCAAGCCUGAUGCAGCCAUGCCGCGUGUGUGAAGAAGGCCUUCGGGUUGUAAAGCACUUUCAGCGGGGAGGAAGGCGGUGAGGUUAAUAACCUCACCGAUUGACGUUACCCGCAGAAGAAGCACCGGCUAACUCCGUGCCAGCAGCCGCGGUAAUACGGAGGGUGCAAGCGUUAAUCGGAAUUACUGGGCGUAAAGCGCACGCAGGCGGUCUGUCAAGUCGGAUGUGAAAUCCCCGGGCUCAACCUGGGAACUGCAUUCGAAACUGGCAGGCUAGAGUCUUGUAGAGGGGGGUAGAAUUCCAGGUGUAGCGGUGAAAUGCGUAGAGAUCUGGAGGAAUACCGGUGGCGAAGGCGGCCCCCUGGACAAAGACUGACGCUCAGGUGCGAAAGCGUGGGGAGCAAACAGGAUUAGAUACCCUGGUAGUCCACGCUGUAAACGAUGUCGAUUUGGAGGUUGUGCCCUUGAGGCGUGGCUUCCGGAGCUAACGCGUUAAAUCGACCGCCUGGGGAGUACGGCCGCAAGGUUAAAACUCAAAUGAAUUGACGGGGGCCCGCACAAGCGGUGGAGCAUGUGGUUUAAUUCGAUGCAACGCGAAGAACCUUACCUGGUCUUGACAUCCACAGAACUUUCCAGAGAUGGAUUGGUGCCUUCGGGAACUGUGAGACAGGUGCUGCAUGGCUGUCGUCAGCUCGUGUUGUGAAAUGUUGGGUUAAGUCCCGCAACGAGCGCAACCCUUAUCCUUUGUUGCCAGCGGUCCGGCCGGGAACUCAAAGGAGACUGCCAGUGAUAAACUGGAGGAAGGUGGGGAUGACGUCAAGUCAUCAUGGCCCUUACGACCAGGGCUACACACGUGCUACAAUGGCAUAUACAAAGAGAAGCGACCUCGCGAGAGCAAGCGGACCUCAUAAAGUAUGUCGUAGUCCGGAUUGGAGUCUGCAACUCGACUCCAUGAAGUCGGAAUCGCUAGUAAUCGUAGAUCAGAAUGCUACGGUGAAUACGUUCCCGGGCCUUGCACACAAAGCCCGUCA
RNAcentral lists this ribosomal RNA (1401 nucleotides) under uncultured bacterium. RNAcentral's name for it is "bacterial SSU rRNA". It matches the Rfam family "Bacterial small subunit ribosomal RNA". The record is from RNAcentral.